RNAcentral lists this ribosomal RNA (440 nucleotides) under uncultured bacterium. Its description in RNAcentral is "bacterial SSU rRNA". It matches the Rfam family "Bacterial small subunit ribosomal RNA", at positions 338 to 768 of the family's 1533-position model. The record is from RNAcentral.
CCUACGGGGGGCAGCAGUGGGGAAUCUUGCGCAAUGGCCGAAAGGCUGACGCAGCGACGCCGCGUGCGGGAGGAAGCUCUUCGGGGUGUAAACCGCUGUCAGGAGGGACGAAGGUCCGGAGGAGGCAAUGCCUUCGGGAUGACGGUACCUCCAGAGGAAGCGCCGGCUAACUCCGUGCCAGCAGCCGCGGUAAUACGGAGGGCGCGAGCGUUGUUCGGAAUUAUUGGGCGUAAAGCGCACGUAGGCGGUUCGAUCAGUCUGCCUGUGAAAGCUCGGGGCUCAACCCCGACGAGGCCAGGGGAUACUGUCGGACUGGAGACAAGCAGAGGUUGGUAGAAUUCCGGGUGUAGCGGUGGAAUGCGUAGAGAUCCGGAGGAAUACCAGAGGCGAAGGCGGCCAACUGGGCUUGUUCUGACGCUGAGGUGCGAAAGCGUGGGGAG